Molecule: ribosomal RNA, 504 nt
Filed under: uncultured bacterium
Lineage: Bacteria
Description: partial 16S ribosomal RNA
Rfam family: Bacterial small subunit ribosomal RNA
Source: RNAcentral
AUUGAACGCUGGCGGCAGGCCUAACACAUGCAAGUCGAACGGUAGCACAGAGAGCUUGCUCUCGGGUGACGAGUGGCGGACGGGUGAGUAGUGUCUGGGAAACUGCCCGAUGGAGGGGGAUAACUACUGGAAACGGUAGCUAAUACCGCAUGACGUCGCAAGACCAAAGUGGGGGACCUUCGGGCCUCACACCAUCGGAUGUGCCCAGAUGGGAUUAGCUAGUAGGUGGGAUAAUGGCUCACCUAGGCGACGAUCCCUAGCUGGUCUGAGAGGAUGACCAGCCACACUGGAACUGAGACACGGUCCAGACUCCUACGGGAGGCAGCAGUGGGGAAUAUUGCACAAUGGGCGCAAGCCUGAUGCAGCCAUGCCGCGUGUAUGAAGAAGGCCUUCGGGUUGUAAAGUACUUUCAGCGGGGAGGAAGGCGGUGAAGUUAAUAGCUUCACCGAUUGACGUUACCCGCAGAAGAAGCACCGGCUAACUCCGUGCCAGCCGCCGCGGUAA